AGUGUGCUAGAAAAAGAAAAGGUGUGUCCAAUGUGUUGUAAACAAGGGGAAACAAAUAUGACCACAGUUAAGCUCAUAAUUUGGAACAGAGUGAAGAUGUAACUGCUGCAAUUGCCUCGUCUGCAUCAAACUGGCUUCCUCCCCACCCCGCCCCUAACGAACAGAGAAAUAU
This is a long non-coding RNA of Chelonia mydas (Green sea turtle), 172 nucleotides long. RefSeq lists it as uncharacterized. Lineage: Eukaryota; Metazoa; Chordata; Testudines; Cheloniidae. The record is from RefSeq and is a predicted model, not a curated record. The transcript has 3 exons.